Molecule: small nucleolar RNA, 91 nt
Organism: Marmota marmota marmota (Alpine marmot)
Lineage: Eukaryota; Metazoa; Chordata; Mammalia; Rodentia; Sciuridae
Source: Ensembl
GGGACCCCAUGAUAUUCAGCACUGGGCUCUGACUGCCCCUGAAGAUAUAGUGCCACCCAGGACCUUAGACACCUGGGGAUCUGAGGGCCCC